Molecule: ribosomal RNA, 485 nt
Filed under: uncultured bacterium
Lineage: Bacteria
Description: partial 16S ribosomal RNA
Rfam family: Bacterial small subunit ribosomal RNA
Source: RNAcentral
AUUGAACGCUGGCGGCAGGCCUAACGCAUGCAAGUCGAGCGGAUGAGUGGAGCUUGCUCCAUGAUUCAGCGGCGGACGGGUGAGUAAUGCCUAGGAAUCUGCCUGGUAGUGGGGGACAACGUUUCGAAAGGAACGCUAAUACCGCAUACGUCCUACGGGAGAAAGUGGGGGAUCUUCGGACCUCACGCUAUCAGAUGAGCCUAGGUCGGAUUAGCUAGUUGGUGAGGUAAAGGCUCACCAAGGCGACGAUCCGUAACUGGUCUGAGAGGAUGAUCAGUCACACUGGGACUGGGACACGGUCCAGACUCCUACGGGAGGCAGCAGUGGGGAAUAUUGGACAAUGGGCGAAAGCCUGAUCCAGCCAUGCCGCGUGUGUGAAGAAGGUCUUCGGAUUGUAAAGCACUUUAAGUUGGGAGGAAGGGCAGUAAGUUAAUACCUUGCUGUUUUGACGUUACCAACCGAAUAAGCACCGGCUAACUUCGUGC